GUAAUGGCGAAUGAACAGGGAUAAGCUCAGCAUGGAAAUCGGUGUCUCUGGCAUUGAAUUGUAGUCUCGAGAUGUACUGCCAACGGAGGCGCAGAUGUAAGCCUCUUGGAAAAGAGCAUCAACGAGGGUGAGAGUCCCGUUUGUCAUCUGCAGUCCCCCGUGCACGGCGUACUUCUAAAGAGUCACGUUCCUCGGAAAUGGAGCGCAAAGUGGGUGGUAAAUUUCAUCUAAAGCUAAAUAUAGGUUCGAGACCGAUAGCAAACAAGUACCAUGAGGGAAAGGUGAAAAGGACUUUGAAAAGAGAGUUAAAAGUGCCUGAAAUUGCUGAAAGGGAAGCGAAUGGAACCAGUGUUUCUUGGCAAGAUUGGUGCGUGCUAUGGGGAUUGCCUGCUACUUCAGCGCAAGCGGGGUAGUGGGUUUUGACCUGGACGUGCGUGUUGUUUCUUGCCUUGUCUGUCAACGUCAGUUCCCAAUCGAGGAAAACGCCAGGGACAUGGUAGCUCGUCUCCGGGUGAGUGAAUGUGCUUGGUUGAACUCAUUUGUGAACUGGUUCUUGCGUGUCUGGUUGCAGUGACUGUGUCCUCACACCUCCGCAACGGGUUGAUUCCUUCUGUGGGUGGGGUGGGCGACCGGUGCAUCUCCCUGACACAACGACGCUGACUAAAUGGUUCUAUUCGACCCGUCUUGAAACACGGACCAAGGAGUCUAACAUAUGUGCGAGUUCACGGGCGGGUAAACCUGCUUGCGCAAUGAAAGUGACUGCUGGGAUUUUUGCACCAGCAACCGACCAAUCAAUUGAGAGAGGUUUGAGUAUGAGCAUAUCUGUUAGGACCCGAAAGAUGGUGAACUAUGCGUGGUUAGGGCAAAGUCAGGGGAAACUCUGAUGGAGGCUCGUAGCGAUACUGACGUGCAAAUCGUUCGUCAAAACUGCGUA
Molecule: ribosomal RNA, 934 nt
Filed under: Heterocapsa sp.
Lineage: Eukaryota; Dinophyceae; Peridiniales; Heterocapsaceae
Description: partial large subunit ribosomal RNA
Rfam family: Eukaryotic large subunit ribosomal RNA
Source: RNAcentral